RNAcentral lists this ribosomal RNA (465 nucleotides) under uncultured Klebsiella sp. RNAcentral's name for it is "bacterial SSU rRNA". It matches the Rfam family "Bacterial small subunit ribosomal RNA", at positions 338 to 795 of the family's 1533-position model. The record is from RNAcentral. Lineage: Bacteria; Pseudomonadati; Pseudomonadota; Gammaproteobacteria; Enterobacterales; Enterobacteriaceae.
CCUACGGGAGGCAGCAGUGGGGAAUAUUGCACAAUGGGCGCAAGCCUGAUGCAGCCAUGCCGCGUGUGUGAAGAAGGCCUUCGGGUUGUAAAGCACUUUCAGCGGGGAGGAAGGCGUUAAGGUUAAUAACCUUGGCGAUUGACGUUACCCGCAGAAGAAGCACCGGCUAACUCCGUGCCAGCAGCCGCGGUAAUACGGAGGGUGCAAGCGUUAAUCGGAAUUACUGGGCGGAAAGCGCACGCAGGCGGUCUGUCAAGUCGGAUGUGAAAUCCCCGGGCUCAACCUGGGAACUGCAUUCGAAACUGGCAGGCUAGAGUCUUGUAGAGGGGGGUAGAAUUCCAGGUGUAGCGGUGAAAUGCGUAGAGAUCUGGAGGAAUACCGGUGGCGAAGGCGGCCCCCUGGACAAAGACUGACGCUCAGGUGCGAAAGCGUGGGGAGCAAACAGGAUUAGAUACCCGGGUAGUC